Molecule: long non-coding RNA, 371 nt
Filed under: Mytilus galloprovincialis (Mediterranean mussel)
Lineage: Eukaryota; Metazoa; Mollusca; Bivalvia; Mytilida; Mytilidae
Source: RNAcentral
UAGAAAGGCUUUUAAGUAUUGCCGGAAAGGUGUACAGAACUGAUCGCUGUUCUCUUAAUGGCAUCACAUUUAAACCACUUAUGAUGAUUAUAAAGUGCAAUGGACAUAUUACCAGUAUUUGAAGUCUAUGUCCCUAACACUGUAUACAUAUGUACAUAUACCUCUGUUUUUGAAAUGCUUUUUGUUUUUAUAUUGAAAAAGUAAUGUGUAAUGUAAUGCAUUACACAGGCAAAGUAAUUGUAAUGUAAUGCAUUACAUGUGAGAAAAAAUGUAAUUGUAAUUGUAAUUGUAAUGGAAGAAUCACAAAGUAAUUGUAAUGUAAUGCAUUACAUUGCAAUGUAAUGGCCCCAGGCCUGAGUGGUAUAAAGUAA